AAUGGCUGUCCGUAGUAUGGUCUCUAUAUUUAUGGUGAUUAAUAUCGGACAACCAUUGU
RNAcentral lists this microRNA precursor (59 nucleotides) under Oryctolagus cuniculus (rabbit). Lineage: Eukaryota; Metazoa; Chordata; Mammalia; Lagomorpha; Leporidae. The record is from RNAcentral.